UCGAACGAGUUUCGUUUAGUAGCAAUACUGAGCGAAGCUAGUGGCGAACGGGUGCGUAACACAUGAGUCAUCUGCCCAGAAGUGGGGAAUAGCUCGGCGAAAGCCGGAUUAAUACCGCAUGUGGUCGUAAGACCAAAGCCGGGGCAACCUGGCGCUUUUGGAGGAGCUCGUGGCCUAUCAGCUAGUUGGUGAGGUAACGGCUCACCAAGGCAACGACGGGUAGCUGGUCUGAGAGGACGACCAGCCACACUGGAACUGAGAUACGGUCCAGACACCUACGGGUGGCAGCAGUCGAGAAUUUUUCUCAAUGGGGGAAACCCUGAAGGAGCGACGCCGCGUGGAGGAUGAAUGCUUUCGGGUUGUAAACUCCUGUCAUUUGGGAACAAGACCUUACGUUAACUGCGUGGAGGAUUGAUAGUACCAGAAGAGGAAGAGACGGCUAACUCUGUGCCAGCA
Molecule: ribosomal RNA, 456 nt
Filed under: uncultured bacterium
Lineage: Bacteria
Description: bacterial SSU rRNA
Rfam family: Bacterial small subunit ribosomal RNA
Source: RNAcentral